Molecule: ribosomal RNA, 377 nt
Filed under: uncultured bacterium
Lineage: Bacteria
Description: bacterial SSU rRNA
Rfam family: Bacterial small subunit ribosomal RNA
Source: RNAcentral
AUACGUAGGGGGCGAGCGUUGUCCGGAAUUAUUGGGCGUAAAGCGCGCGCAGGCGGUCCCUUAAGUCUGAUGUGAAAGCCCACGGCUCAACCGUGGAGGUUCAUUGGAAACUGGGGGACUUGAGUGCAGAAGAGGAGAGCGGAAUUCCACGUGUAGCGGUGAAAUGCUUAGAGAUGUGGAGGAACACCAGUGGCGAAGGCGGCUCUCUGGUCUGUAACUGACGCUGAGGCGCGAAAGCGUGGGGAGCAAACAGGAUUAGAUACCCUGGUAGUCCACGCCGUAAACGAUGAGUGCUAAGUGUUAGAGGGGUCAAACCCUUUAGUGCUGUAGCUAACGCGUUAAGCACUCCGCCUGGGGAGUACGGCCGCAAGGCUGAA